CCGAGUUGCAAAACUCCCAAACCCCAAUGUUUAUCUAUCUCAAAAACGUCUGCUUCGGCGGGCGGCCCCAGGGCGGGGCCGCAGCCCAGCGCUUCGGCGCCAGGCGCCCGCCGGAGAGGACACCCCAAAAACUCUUGUUUUCAAUGAAACUCUGAGCAUAAAAGACAAAUAGUCA
This 175-nucleotide unclassified non-coding RNA is filed under the name soil metagenome. RNAcentral describes it as "partial internal transcribed spacer 1". The record is from RNAcentral.